This 643-nucleotide ribosomal RNA is filed under the name uncultured Actinomycetes bacterium. Its description in RNAcentral is "bacterial SSU rRNA". It matches the Rfam family "Bacterial small subunit ribosomal RNA", at positions 232 to 885 of the family's 1533-position model. The record is from RNAcentral. Lineage: Bacteria; Bacillati; Actinomycetota; Actinomycetes.
CGCGGCCUAUCAGCUUGUUGGUGGGGUAAUGGCCUACCAAGGCGACGACGGGUAGCCGGCCUGAGAGGGCGACCGGCCACACUGGGACUGAGACACGGCCCAGACUCCUACGGGAGGCAGCAGUGGGGAAUAUUGCACAAUGGGCGAAAGCCUGAUGCAGCGACGCCGCGUGAGGGAUGACGGCCUUCGGGUUGUAAACCUCUUUCAGCAGGGAAGAAGCGAAAGUGACGGUACCUGCAGAAGAAGCGCCGGCUAACUACGUGCCAGCAGCCGCGGUAAUACGUAGGGCGCAAGCGUUGUCCGGAAUUAUUGGGCGUAAAGAGUUCGUAGGCGGCUUGUCACGUCGGAUGUGAAAGCCCGAGGCUUAACCUCGGGUCUGCAUUCGAUACGGGCUAGCUAGAGUGUGGUAGGGGAGAUCGGAAUUCCUGGUGUAGCGGUGAAACGCGCAGAUAUCAGGAGGAACACCGGUGGCGAAGGCGGAUCUCUGGGCCAUUACUGACGCUGAGGAGCGAAAGCGUGGGGAGCGAACAGGAUUAGAUACCCUGGUAGUCCACGCCGUAAACGUUGGGAGCUAGGUGUUGGCGACAUUCCACGUCGUCGGUGCCGCAGCUAACGCAUUAAGUUCCCCGCCUGGGGAGUACGG